AUACGUAGGUGGCGAGCGUUAUCCGGAAUUACUGGGUGUAAAGGGUGUGUAGGCGGGGAACCAAGUCAGAUGUGAAAAUUACGGGCUCAACCCGUAACCUGCGUCUGAAACUGGAUCUCUUGAGAGUGGGAGAGGGAAACGGAAUUCCUUGUGUAGCGGUGAAAUGCGUAGAUAUAAGGAAGAACACCAGUGGCGAAGGCGGCCUACUGGACAGUAACUGACGCUGAGGCGCGAAAGCGUGGGGAGCAAACAGGAUUAGAUACCCUGGUAGUCCACGCUGUAAACGAUGAAUACUAGGUGUGGGGGGACUGACCCCCUCCGUGCCGCAGUUAACACAAUAAGUAUUCCACCUGGGGAGUACGGCCGCAAGGUUGAAACUCAAAUGAAUUGACGGGG
This 396-nucleotide ribosomal RNA is filed under the name uncultured bacterium. Its description in RNAcentral is "partial 16S ribosomal RNA". It matches the Rfam family "Bacterial small subunit ribosomal RNA", at positions 523 to 918 of the family's 1533-position model. The record is from RNAcentral.